AUAAAAGUCCCUUACAAUUUCUGAUUAUUGGAAGAAAUUAAAGAAGGUCAUAAAGUAGUAGGAGUUGGCACAGUUAGCUGGGGGUCUAAAAAUGAUGAAGAGAUAACACAAGAUGGACAGAAGUUAUAGUUGGGUCUCUACAAACAAUUUAUGAAAAUUCGAUAUGCAACCUUAAAACAGGAUGUAGACCUAAAUAUACAGAAACACCCAACCCUUUGUAAUAUUUUAACAAAAAAUCAUAUGAAUGAAAUUAAUAGUUCUAAUUAAGUGGUGGACCUAAGAGCUGUAUUAGUGCCAGCAAAAUAACAGAACUAAUAUAGCAUUGGAGUUGUCAUGCAAC
RNAcentral lists this long non-coding RNA (340 nucleotides) under Homo sapiens (human). RNAcentral's name for it is "non-protein coding lnc-RTL3-2:1". The record is from RNAcentral. Lineage: Eukaryota; Metazoa; Chordata; Mammalia; Primates; Hominidae.